RNAcentral lists this long non-coding RNA (641 nucleotides) under Triticum aestivum (bread wheat). RNAcentral describes it as "long non-coding RNA (TAES_LNC028402)". The record is from RNAcentral. Lineage: Eukaryota; Viridiplantae; Streptophyta; Magnoliopsida; Poales; Poaceae.
AAACAUGAAGUGGGAUGGAUUACUACCGAUUUACCGCUGCAUCAAGAUCUCAUUUACACAGUAUGAAAUAGGGCAUUUUCAAUUGGUAAGUAAUAUAAUUACACAUCACGCUUUGAAAUUCGGCAAAUUGGAGUUUUAUUUCCAAGUUCCGACACAUAUAAGGAGUUCAUCUGUACACUGAAAACGAUGACAUCCGAUCCAAGGACUAGCAGCAAGCCUAAAUCUUGCACCUCCUGGAGCAAUAGCACAUAAGCUCUUUGAUUCUGAGAUGUGACAAGAAAUAGCUGAGCUUUACUGGUGCCACAACACCCUGAGCACCGGCCGGUUUGAAUGGCGUCAGGCGACCUUGCGGCUCCCUUAUUUCAGGAACUACAUAAAAGGCAGAGACAACAUCCCGAGGUCCGAGGACGUUUGUGCUCGGUGCUCAUUGAUCACUCACCAAGAAAGCAUUAGCAUCGGCUUUACUGGGUGGGCUUAGCUCCCGCUCAAUCUCUUCCAGGGAUCGCCCCUUGGUCUCGACCACAUUCCCGGCAAUGUACAGGACCGCGAGAGCACACACGGACGCGAAUCCCAAGUACACGGUGCUGAUCCCAAACUUGUUGACGACGCUCAGGAAGUACAGGCCGAUGAAGAAGUUUGAU